Molecule: ribosomal RNA, 497 nt
Filed under: uncultured bacterium
Lineage: Bacteria
Description: partial 16S ribosomal RNA
Rfam family: Bacterial small subunit ribosomal RNA
Source: RNAcentral
GAUGAACGCUGGCGGCGUGCCUAAUACAUGCAAGUCGAGCGAACAGAUGAGGAGCUUGCUCCUCUGACGUUAGCGGCGGACGGGUGAGUAACACGUGGAUAACCUACCUAUAAGACUGGGAUAACUUCGGGAAACCGGAGCUAAUACCGGAUAAUAUAUUGAACCGCAUGGUUCAAUAGUGAAAGACGGUUUUGCUGUCACUUAUAGAUGGAUCCGCGCCGCAUUAGCUAGUUGGUAAGGUAACGGCUUACCAAGGCAACGAUGCGUAGCCGACCUGAGAGGGUGAUCGGCCACACUGGAACUGAGACACGGUCCAGACUCCUACGGGAGGCAGCAGUAGGGAAUCUUCCGCAAAGGGCGAAAGCCUGACGGAGCAACGCCGCGUGAGUGAUGAAGGUCUUCGGAUCGUAAAACUCUGUUAUUAGGGAAGAACAAAUGUGUAAGUAACUAUGCACGUCUUGACGGUACCUAAUCAGAAAGCCACGGCUAAUUACGUG